GUACACGCUGUGACUAGCAUAUCAAUAAGCGGAGGAAAAGAAACUAACAAGGAUUCCCCUAGUAACGGCGAGUGAAGCGGGAAGAGCUCAAAUUUGAAAUCUUAAAGGGUUUCCCUUUACGAAUUGUAGUUUAAAGAAGUGUUUUCUGUUGAGGUUUUGGUAAAAGUUCUUUGGAAUAGGACAUCAUAGAGGGUGAGAAUCCCGUAUUUGACCUUUACUUUCAACUUUGUGAUACACUUUCAAAGAGUCGGAUUGUUUGGGAAUGCAGUCCAAAAUGGGUGGUAAAUUUCAUCUAAAGCUAAAUAUUGGCGAGAGACCGAUAGCGAACAAGUACCGUGAGGGAAAGAUGAAAAGAACUUUGAAAAGAGAGUUAAACAGUACGUGAAAUUGUCAAAAGGGAAGCGUUUGACACCAGUGUUGUUUUUCUGAAAAUCAAUUAAAGAACUGUUUAUGCUAAGUUGUUUAGACUUUAUCAGCUAACUGUUUAGUUUUGAGCUUUUCUUUAAUGCACUUUUCAGUUAACAAGUCAACAUCAAUUUCUUUUGCUGUAAAAAAGCUUGAGGAAGGUGGCUUGAGAUUCGUCUUAAGUGUUUAUAGCCUCUUGCCUAUGCAGUCGGAGAGGAUUGAGGUCUGCAGCGUAGAUCCUUCGGGGCUAAAUGCAUUUGUGCUAAGUUAUAGCAUUUUAUAGACAACUUGUUGACUAUGAUUUGUCUUGUAGCUUACUCGCUUAUGUUAUUUUACCUACGCUUAGGAUGUUGACAGCAGUAUAGACUGU
Molecule: ribosomal RNA, 775 nt
Filed under: uncultured Neocallimastigales
Lineage: Eukaryota; Fungi; Neocallimastigomycota; Neocallimastigomycetes; Neocallimastigales
Description: partial large subunit ribosomal RNA
Rfam family: Eukaryotic large subunit ribosomal RNA
Source: RNAcentral